RNAcentral lists this ribosomal RNA (253 nucleotides) under uncultured prokaryote. Its description in RNAcentral is "partial 16S ribosomal RNA". It matches the Rfam family "Bacterial small subunit ribosomal RNA", at positions 524 to 776 of the family's 1533-position model. The record is from RNAcentral.
UACGAGGGGGGCAAGCGUUGUUCGGAAUUAUUGGGCGUAAAGGGCGCGUAGGCGGUGCGGUAAGUCUGUAGUGAAAUCUCUGGGCUCAACUCAGAGUCUGCUAUAGAAACUGCCGUGCUCGAGUGUGGGAGAGGUGAGUGGAAUUCCCGGUGUAGCGGUGAAAUGCGUAGAUAUCUGGAGGAACACCGGUGGCGAAGGCGGCAUCCUGGACUACUACUGACGCUGAGGAGCGAAAGCCAGGGGAGCAAACGGG